RNAcentral lists this unclassified non-coding RNA (380 nucleotides) under uncultured Actinomycetes bacterium. RNAcentral describes it as "uncultured actinobacterium contains 16S-23S intergenic spacer region". Lineage: Bacteria; Bacillati; Actinomycetota; Actinomycetes. The record is from RNAcentral.
UCCGAGUUGACCCCGGCAGUCUCCUGCGAGUCCCCGCCAUUACGCGCUGGCAACACAGGACAAGGGUUGCGCUCGUUGCGGGACUUAACCCAACAUCUCACGACACGAGCUGACGACAGCCAUGCACCACCUGUAUACCGGCCACAAGUGGCCGACACAUCUCUGCACCGUUCCGGUUCAUGUCAAGCCUUGGUAAGGUUCUUCGCGUUGCAUCGAAUUAAAGAACAUGCUCCGCUGCUUGUGCGGGCCCCCGUCAAUUCUUUUGAGUUUUAGCCUUGCGGCCGUACUCCCCAGGCGGAGUGCUUAAUGCGUUAGCUGCGGCACAGAGAGGGUUGAAGACCUCCCCACACCUAGCACUCAACGUUUACGGCUGGGACUAC